RNAcentral lists this ribosomal RNA (253 nucleotides) under uncultured bacterium. RNAcentral's name for it is "partial 16S ribosomal RNA". It matches the Rfam family "Bacterial small subunit ribosomal RNA", at positions 524 to 776 of the family's 1533-position model. The record is from RNAcentral.
UACGGGGGGGGCAAGCGUUGUUCGGAAUUACUGGGCGUAAAGGGCUCGUAGGUGGCCAACUAAGUCAGACGUGAAAUCCCUCGGCUUAACCGGGGAACUGCGUCUGAUACUGGAUGGCUUGAGUUCGGGAGAGGGAUGCGGAAUUCCAGGUGUAGCGGUGAAAUGCGUAGAUAUCUGGAGGAACACCGGUGGCGAAGGCGGAUCUCUGGGCCUUACCUGACGCUGAGGCACGAAAGUGUGGGGAUCAAACAGG